RNAcentral lists this ribosomal RNA (500 nucleotides) under uncultured bacterium. RNAcentral's name for it is "bacterial SSU rRNA". It matches the Rfam family "Bacterial small subunit ribosomal RNA", at positions 1011 to 1512 of the family's 1533-position model. The record is from RNAcentral.
GUGUUCCUUUCGGGGACUUGGAGAUAGGUGCUGCAUGGCUGUCGUCAGCUCGUGUCGUAAGAUGUCCGGUUAAGUCCGAUAACGAGCGCAACCCUUGCCCUUAGUUACCAGCAUUAAGUUGGGGACUCUAGGGGGACUGCCGGUGUUAAACCGGAGGAAGGCGGGGAUGACGUCAAGUCCUCAUGGCCCUUACGGGUAGGGCUACACACGUACUACAAUGGCAGAAACAGACCGUUGCGAAACCGCAAGGUGGAGCUAAUCGGUAAAACACUGUCUCAGUCCGGAUUGGGGUCUGCAACUCGACCCCAUGAAGCUGGAAUCGCUAGUAAUCGCUGAUCAGCAAGCAGCGGUGAAUACGUUCCCGGGCCUUGUACACACCACCCGUCACACCACGAAAGUGGUCAUAACCAGAAGCAGAUAAGCUAACCGCAAGGAGGCAGUCUACCAAGGUUGUGGCCGCGAUUGGGGUGAAGUCGUAACAAGGUAGCCGUAGGGGAACC